UGGAUGUUAAAUUUGUUCUUGGAUGUUAAAUUUAUGCAGAUUUGGUUUAAAGGAUUGAUGUGUUUGCAUGAUAACACUUAGGGUUGUUAGUUCCUCUAGAAAUGAGAUAUUGAGUUCCAGCAUAGUGAUAUGCAGAGUGAGUCUGCUUUACUCAUGGGCGGAAGAGUAUCACGAGGUGACAACAAUACAGAUCACCAAGCAAAUACAUGUCACUUUUGUAUAUUUAUUUAUUGUUAACCUACUCUAGAUUGUAAAAUGUUUAAGCUAUCAUAUACC
Molecule: non-coding RNA, 276 nt
Organism: Nicotiana tabacum (common tobacco)
Lineage: Eukaryota; Viridiplantae; Streptophyta; Magnoliopsida; Solanales; Solanaceae
Source: RefSeq, a predicted model, not a curated record